GCGUAAGCGCGCGCAGGCGGUCUUUUAAGUCUGAUGUGAAAGCCCACGGCUCAACCGUGGAGGGUCAUUGGAAACUGGAGGACUUGAGUGCAGAAGAGGAGAGUGGAAUUCCACGUGUAGCGGUGAAAUGCGUAGAUAUGUGGAGGAACACCAGUGGCGAAGGCGGCUCUCUGGUCUGUAACUGACGCUGAGGCGCGAAAGCGUGGGGGAGCAAACAGGAUUAGAUACCCUGGUAGUCCACGCCGUAAACGAUGAGUGCUAGGUGUUGGGGGGGUUCCACCCUCAGUGCUGAAGUUAACACAUUAAGCACUCCGCCUGGGGAGUACGACCGCAAGGUUGAAACUCAAAGGAAUUGACGGGGGCCCGCACAAGCAGUGGAGCAUGUGGUUUAAUUCGAAGCAACGCGAAGAACCUUACCAGGUCUUGACAUCCUCUGACAAUCCUGGAGACAGGACGUUCCCCUUCGGGGGACAGAGUGACAGGUGGUGCAUGGUUGUCGUCAGCUCGUGUCGUGAGAUGUUGGGUUUAAGUCCCGCAACGAGCGCAACCCUUUGAUCUUAGUUGCCMGCAUUCAGUUGGGCACUCUAAGGUGACUGCCGGUGACAAACCGGAGGAAGGUGGGGAUGACGUCAAAUCAUCAUGCCCCUUAUGACCUGGGCUACACACGUGCUACAAUGGACGGUACAAAGGGCAGCGACACCGCGAGGUGAAGCAAAUCCCAUAAAGCCGUUCUCAGUUCGGAUUGCAGGCUGCAACUCGCCUGCAUGAAGCCGGAAUUGCUAGUAAUCGCGGAUCAGCAUGCCGCGGUGAAUACGUUCCCGGGCCUUGUACACACCGCCCGUCACACCACGAGAGUUUGUAACACCCGAAGUCGGUGGGGUAACCUUAUGGAGC
This 894-nucleotide ribosomal RNA is filed under the name Bacillus baekryungensis. RNAcentral describes it as "bacterial SSU rRNA". It matches the Rfam family "Bacterial small subunit ribosomal RNA", at positions 558 to 1449 of the family's 1533-position model. Lineage: Bacteria; Bacillati; Bacillota; Bacilli; Caryophanales; Bacillaceae. The record is from RNAcentral.